This 460-nucleotide ribosomal RNA is filed under the name uncultured bacterium. Its description in RNAcentral is "partial 16S ribosomal RNA". It matches the Rfam family "Bacterial small subunit ribosomal RNA", at positions 338 to 795 of the family's 1533-position model. The record is from RNAcentral.
CCUACGGGUGACAGCAGUGAGGAAUAUUGGUCAAUGGACGCAAGCCUGAACCAGCCAAGUCGCGUGCAGGAUGACGGCCCUAUGGGUUGUAAACUGCUUUUGUACGAGGGUAAAGCCCGAUACGUGUACCGGGUUGAAUGUACCGUAUGAAUAAGGAUCGGCUAACUCCGUGCCAGCAGCCGCGGUAAUACGGAGGAUCCGAGCGUUAUCCGGAUUUAUUGGGUUUAAAGGGUGCGUAGGCGGGUUGGUAAGUGAGAGGUGAAAUGUUGGGGCUCAACCCCGAAACUGCCUCUGAUACUGGCAGACUUGAGUAUAGUUGCGGUAGGCGGAAUGUGUGGUGUAGCGGUGAAAUGCGUAGAUAUUAGGAAGAACACCGAUUGCGAAGGCAGCUUACUGGACAGUAACUGACAUUGAUGCUCGAAAGCGUGGGGAUCAAACAGGAUUAGAUACCCCAGUAGUC